UCUAAGGAUUACCCUAGCUGGCAAAUUCGUUUGUCACGUGGGUUACUUAGCAGAAGCAGCAAACAAAGCUGCACAUUUGAGCCAGACUGUCCUCUUAUCUCUUCAGCAUUACAUCAGACCUGCCGGUCUGGACUGGGUCGGUAGCUCAGGUGGUUAGAGCGCACGCCUGAUAAGCGUGAGGUCGGAGGUUCAAGUCCUCCUCGACCCACCAAAUAAUCAUAAAGUCGGGUAAUAACGUAAACAUGCGAUCUUUAUAUGGGGCCUUAGCUCAGCUGGGAGAGCGCCUGAUUUGCAUUCAGGAGGUCAGGAGUUCGAUCCUCCUAGGCUCCACCAUUACCAAUUUGAGUGCUAAACAGUAUUACUGUUUAGCCGUCCAAUUGGGCGAUUUUGACAUCGUGAAGAGAGAUACAAAUAUAACUUCUUUUGAGGUUGACGUGUGAGUUAACCUCUCACUUAGUGAAGCACAAUUGUGUGGACAGUCAGUGUACAAUGGUCUUUUCCUCGACCGUGCGCCGAUAUGCUUUGUGAAACAGAAGGAGUUAUCCAAGUCAAAUACACUAACCAAGCAUUUUUCAGAUUAAUCUGAAUAAAAAUGCGGGAAAGUAUAAAAUUAUGACUUUUGACCAGAAAAGUGGAGCCACCGAACCAGCGGUUCCUUGCAGCUAGUCUGACUUUUUCU
RNAcentral lists this transfer RNA (679 nucleotides) under uncultured marine bacterium. Its description in RNAcentral is "partial contains 16S ribosomal RNA, 16S-23S ribosomal RNA intergenic spacer, and 23S ribosomal RNA". The stretch from base 135 to 208 matches the Rfam family "tRNA". The record is from RNAcentral.